Molecule: long non-coding RNA, 226 nt
Filed under: Homo sapiens (human)
Lineage: Eukaryota; Metazoa; Chordata; Mammalia; Primates; Hominidae
Description: HSALNT0173351
Source: RNAcentral
UAUCGCGAGAUCAGGAAGGUGGCCGAGUGUGUCGCCGCGGCCAUCAGGAUUUUUGAGCCACUUCUGAAAUUUUCGCGAACCAAGAAGAAUUUUAGUACUUGGAUUUGACUAACAUUUAUCCAAGCCCUUAGUCUGUACUGAUACUGUGUGGGAGACCCAGAAAAGAUGCUUUAGUUCCAGUCCAAGCAUGAAGAACCAAGGCCUGAGAACCAGAAGAGCCUCUGGU